Molecule: ribosomal RNA, 34 nt
Filed under: Boeremia exigua
Lineage: Eukaryota; Fungi; Ascomycota; Dothideomycetes; Pleosporales; Didymellaceae
Description: partial 28S ribosomal RNA
Source: RNAcentral
GCUGAACUUAAGCAUAUCAAUAGCCGGGAGGGAA